CUUUAGGGUCUUGUAAUCGGAAUGAGUACAAUUUAAAUCCCUUAGCGAGGAACAAUUAGAGGGCAAGUCUGGUGCCAGCAGCCGCGGUAAUUCCAGCUCUAAUAGCGUAUAUUAAAGUUGUUGUGGUUAAAAAGCUCGUAGUUGAACCUGGGCCCCGCGCCGGCCGGUCCGCCUCACCGCGUGCACUGGUUCGGCCGGGGUUUUCGCCUGGGGAACCUCGUGCCCUUCACUGGGCGUGGGCGGAACCAGGACGUUUACUGUGAAAAAAUUAGAGUGUUCGAAGCAGGCCUAUGCUCGGAUACAUUAGCAUGGAAUAAUAAAAUAGGACGUGCGUUCUAUUUUGUUGGUUAUGGGACCGCCGUAAUGAUUAAUAGGGACAGUCGGGGGCAUCAGUAUUCGGUAGUCAGAGGUGAAAUUUUUGGACCUACCGAAGACUAACUACUGCGAAAGCAUUUGCCAAGGAUGUUUUCAUUAAUCAGGAACGAAAGUUAGGGGAUCGAAAACGAUCAGAUACCGUUGUAGUCUUAACCAUAAACUAUGCCGAUUAGGGAUCGGACGGUGCUACUUACUGGCCCGUUCGGCACCUUUCGAGAAAUCAAAAUGUGUGGGUUCCUGGGGAAGUAUGGUGGCAACGCUGAAACUUAAAGAAAUUGACGGAAGGGCACCACCAGGGGUGGAGCCUGCGGCUUAAUUUGACCCAACACGGGGAAACUCACCAGGUCCAGACACAAUGAGGAUUGACAGAUUGAGAGCUCUUUCUUGAUUUUGUGGACGGUGGUGCAUGGCCGUUCUUAGUUGGUGGAGUGAUUUGUCUGCUUAAUUGCGAUAACGAACGAGACCUUAACCUGCUAAAUAGCCCACGUUGCUUCUGCAGCGCGCCGGCUUCUUAGAGGGACUAUCGGCUCAAGCCGAUGGAAGUUUGAGGCAAUAACAGGUCUGUGAUGCCCUUAGAUGUUCUGGGCCGCACGCGCGCUACACUGACAGGGCCAGCGAGUUCUUUCCUUGGCCGAAAGGCCCGGGUAAUCUUGUUAAACCCCGUCGUGCUGGGGAUAGAGCAUUGCAAUUAUUGCUCUUCAACGAGGAAUCCCUAGUAGGCGCAAGUCAUCAGCUUGCGUCGACUACGUCCCUGCCCUUUGUACACACCGCCCGUCGCUACUACCGAUUGAACGGCUUAGUGAGGCUUUCGGACUGGCCCGGGGAGGUCGGCAACGACCACCUCGGGCCGGAAAGCUAUCCAAACUUGGUCGUUUAGAGGAAGUAAAAGUCGUAACAAGGU
This 1276-nucleotide ribosomal RNA is filed under the name metagenome. RNAcentral describes it as "SSU rRNA". It matches the Rfam family "Eukaryotic small subunit ribosomal RNA", at positions 493 to 1800 of the family's 1831-position model. The record is from RNAcentral.